RNAcentral lists this ribosomal RNA (429 nucleotides) under uncultured prokaryote. RNAcentral's name for it is "bacterial SSU rRNA". It matches the Rfam family "Bacterial small subunit ribosomal RNA", at positions 355 to 774 of the family's 1533-position model. The record is from RNAcentral.
UCGAGAAGCUUCGGCAAUGGGCGAAAGCCUGACCGAGCGACGCCGCGUGAGCGAAGAAGGCCCUAUGGGUUGUAAAGCUCUGUCAGAUUGGGACGAAAACCUCGCGGUUAAUACCCGCGAGGCCUGACGGUACCAUCAGAGGAAGCACCGGCUAACCCCGUGCCAGCAGCCGCGGUAAUACGGGGGGUGCAAGCGUUGUUCGGAUUCACUGGGUAUAAAGGGUGCGCAGGCGGCCUGUUAAGUCAGAGGUGAAAUCGGUCGGCUCAACCGACAGACUGCCCCUGAAACGGACAGGCUUGAGUCCGGGAGAGGAAGGUGGAAUUCCAGGUGUAGCGGUGAAAUGCGUAAAUAUCUGGAGGAACACCGGUGGCGAAGGCGGCCUUCUGGCCCGGAACUGACGCUCAGGCACGAAAGCUAGGGGAGCGAACG